This 253-nucleotide ribosomal RNA is filed under the name uncultured bacterium. RNAcentral's name for it is "partial 16S ribosomal RNA". It matches the Rfam family "Bacterial small subunit ribosomal RNA", at positions 524 to 776 of the family's 1533-position model. The record is from RNAcentral.
UACGUAGGGGGCAAGCGUUGUCCGGAUUUAUUGGGCGUAAAGAGCGUGUAGGCGGCCUGACAGGUCUGCUGUGAAAACUCGAGGCUCAACCUCGAGAUGUCGGCGGAAACCGUCUGGCUAGAGCCCGGAAGAGGAGAGUGGAAUUCCUGGUGUAGCGGUGAAAUGCGCAGAUAUCAGGAAGAACACCUAUGGCGAAGGCAGCUCUCUGGGACGGUACUGACGCUGAGACGCGAAAGCGAGGGGAGCGAACAGG